GACAGAGGGUGCAAACGUUGUUCGGAAUUACUGGGCGUAAAGCGUGUGUAGGCGGCUGUGAAAGUCGGAUGUGAAAGCCCCGGGCUCAACACGGGAAGAGCACCCGAUACUGCACGGCUUGAGUACCGGAGAGGUUGGCGGAAUUCUCGGUGUAGAGGUGAAAUUCGUAGAUAUCGAGAGGAACACCGGCGGCGAAGGCGGCCAACUGGACGAGUACUGACGCUGAGACACGAAAGCGUGGGGAGCAAACAG
Molecule: ribosomal RNA, 252 nt
Filed under: uncultured bacterium
Lineage: Bacteria
Description: partial 16S ribosomal RNA
Rfam family: Bacterial small subunit ribosomal RNA
Source: RNAcentral